UGGGGAAUUUUGGACAAUGGGCGAAAGCCUGAUCCAGCAAUGCCGCGUGUGUGAAGAAGGCCUUCGGGUUGUAAAGCACUUUUGUCCGGAAAGAAAUCCUUGGCUCUAAUACAGUCGGGGGAUGACGGUACCGGAAGAAUAAGCACCGGCUAACUACGUGCCAGCAGCCGCGGUAAUACGUAGGGUGCAAGCGUUAAUCGGAAUUACUGGGCGUAAAGCGUGCGCAGGCGGUUUGCUAAGACCGAUGUGAAAUCCCCGGGCUCAACCUGGGAACUGCAUUGGUGACUGGCAGGCUAGAGUAUGGCAGAGGGGGGUAGAAUUCCACGUGUAGCAGUGAAAUGCGUAGAGAUGUGGAGGAAUACCGAUGGCGAAGGUAGCCCCCUGGGCCAAUACUGACGCUCAUGCACGAAAAGCGUGGGGGAGCAAAACAGGAUUAGAUACCCUGGUAGUCCACGCCCUAAACGAUGUCAACUAGUUGUUGGGGAUUCAUUUCCUUAGUAACGUAGCUAACGCGUGAAGUUGACCGCCUGGGGAGUACGGUCGCAAGAUUAAAACUCAAAUGAAUUGACGGGGUCAUAGCUGUUUCCU
This 588-nucleotide ribosomal RNA is filed under the name uncultured bacterium. Its description in RNAcentral is "partial 16S ribosomal RNA". It matches the Rfam family "Bacterial small subunit ribosomal RNA", at positions 355 to 1375 of the family's 1533-position model. The record is from RNAcentral.